UGCUAAUUUAAAACUGUUUUAAAUGACUUUACAGCUGACUCUACCGUUAUUCUGCUGUGAGUAGUAAAUGAUUGUUCUGAUUUAUUUUCACAGACUGGGCUCGCCUCACAAUGAGGCAGUCAGGACAUAUUUAGUUAAAACUUUGGCUGCAAGUUCAGAUGUGGAAGAUGUGGAGACAGACGUCUUUCUAUCUGCUUGUAAAACACAUUUUGAAACUCUACGGAGGAACUACUGGCGGAUCAGGCAGAGGCCAUGAAGUCUUCUGCCCAGAGUCACCAGAGAAGAAAGAGUGUAAGAAGUAUUAGUUUUGUAGGCGAAAUCCACAUUAAAGAGGCCUGGAAAUUCCUGGGGUGAUCUCACUUCACAGAUAAAGACAAGCUCUCUCUCCUCAGAGAGCUACAGUGCUCCAAAGAGGAUUUUUAUGGCCAGAGAACCCUGUACCAUCCACCAGAGACAUCUCCCAGAGACCUCAUAAAUUCGUUAUGAUGACCUCUGACCCUGGUUAAGAUAACCUUCUUUCUGCAAACAAAGACCCAUGGAUUUCUAUUAUAACCAUUCACAGGAAGGACACUCAGGUCCCCUGCAUGUAAAGCAGAGAACUGUAGUUUCACAGAACUUUCACACCUUAGAAUCACCAUUGUAAGACUGUUUCUCACCUUUGGUUAGAAUGCUUUGAACUGAAAGCCCCCUUGCUGACCCUCCGCUCUGUCUCUGGUUCUCUCCAUCAGAUAAGAGUCAUAAAUAUUUUAGUGACCUCUUCCUCACCCCUGAGAGGCUGCAGAAAGACUCUCCCUGUUCAGUUACAGAGCUUUACUUCAAACUCAUGUUUCUGAAAUAUACGUUGGGAUCUUGGGAUUGCCAAUGUCAUAAUAAGAAUUUGUUACGCAUUUUGAAUCAAGGGCUGCUCAGCGGCGUAGUGGUUAGCACUUUUGCCUUGCAGCAAGAAGAUCCCUGGUUCGAAUCCUGGGGUGGGCCUGGGAUCUUUCUGCAUGGAGUUUGCAUGUUGUCCCUGAGCAUGCGUGGGUUUUCUCCGGGCACUCCGGCUUCCUCCCACAGUCCAAAAA
Acanthochromis polyacanthus (spiny chromis) is the source of this 1064-nucleotide long non-coding RNA. RefSeq lists it as uncharacterized. NCBI's taxonomy places the organism in Eukaryota, Metazoa, Chordata, Actinopteri, Pomacentridae. The record is from RefSeq and is a predicted model, not a curated record. The transcript is spliced from 2 exons.